UACGGAAGGCAGCAGUGGGGAAUAUUGCACAAUGGGCGCAAGCCUGAUGCAGCCAUGCCGCGUGUAUGAAGAAGGCCUUCGGGUUGUAAAGUACUUUCAGUCGUGAGGAAGGUGUUAAGGUUAAUAACCUUAGCAAUUGACGUUAGCGACAGAAGAAGCACCGGCUAACUCCGUGCCAGCAGCCGCGGUAAUACGGAGGGUGCGAGCGUUAAUCGGAAUUACUGGGCGUAAAGGGCACGCAGGCGGUUAAUUAAGUUGGAUGUGAAAUCCCCGGGCUUAACCUGGGAAUGGCAUUCAAGACUGGUUAGCUAGAGUCUUGUAGAGGGGGUUAGAAUUCCAUGUGUAGCGGUGAAAUGCGUAGAGAUGUGGAGGAAUACCGGUGGCGAAGGCGGCCCCUGGGACAAAGGCUGACGCUCAUGUGCGAAAGCGUGGGGAGCAAA
Molecule: ribosomal RNA, 440 nt
Filed under: uncultured bacterium
Lineage: Bacteria
Description: bacterial SSU rRNA
Rfam family: Bacterial small subunit ribosomal RNA
Source: RNAcentral